This 252-nucleotide ribosomal RNA is filed under the name uncultured prokaryote. RNAcentral's name for it is "partial 16S ribosomal RNA". It matches the Rfam family "Bacterial small subunit ribosomal RNA", at positions 526 to 777 of the family's 1533-position model. The record is from RNAcentral.
CGGAGGAUGCGAGCGUUAUCCGGAUUUAUUGGGUUUAAAGGGUGCGUAGGCGGCCUUGUAAGUCAGCGGUGAAAUUUUGCAGCUUAACUGUAAAAGUGCCGUUGAUACUGUGAGGCUAGGAUUUGGUUGCUGUGGGUGGAAUGUGUGGUGUAGCGGUGAAAUGCUUAGAUAUCACACAGAACACCGAUUGCGAAGGCAGCACACUAAGUCAUUAUUGACGCUGAGGCAUGAAAGUGUGGGGAUCAAACAGGA